RNAcentral lists this ribosomal RNA (402 nucleotides) under uncultured bacterium. RNAcentral describes it as "bacterial SSU rRNA". It matches the Rfam family "Bacterial small subunit ribosomal RNA", at positions 355 to 774 of the family's 1533-position model. The record is from RNAcentral.
UGGGGAAUAUUGGGCAAUGGGCGCAAGCCUGACCCAGCCAUGCCGCGUGAGUGACGAAGGCCUUAGGGUUGUAAAGCUCUUUUGGCGGGGACGAUAAUGACGGUACCCGCAGAAUAAGCCCCGGCUAACUUCGUGCCAGCAGCCGCGGUAAUACGAAGGGGGCUAGCGUUGUUCGGAAUUACUGGGCGUAAAGCGUACGUAGGCGGAUGCGCAAGUUGGGGGUGAAAUCCCGGGGCUUAACCUCGGAAUUGCCCUCAAAACUGCACGUCUUGAGACCGAGAGAGGUAAGGGGAAUUCCUAGUGUAGAGGUGAAAUUCGUAGAUAUUAGGAAGAACACCAGUGGCGAAGGCGCCUUACUGGCUCGGUACUGACGCUGAGGUACGAAAGCGUGGGGAGCAAACA